This 17-nucleotide transfer RNA is filed under the name Rhynchoglossum notonianum. RNAcentral describes it as "partial tRNA-Phe". RNAcentral also lists the same sequence under 25 other names. Lineage: Eukaryota; Viridiplantae; Streptophyta; Magnoliopsida; Lamiales; Gesneriaceae. The record is from RNAcentral.
UCGGGAUAGCUCAGCUG